RNAcentral lists this ribosomal RNA (567 nucleotides) under uncultured archaeon. RNAcentral's name for it is "bacterial SSU rRNA". It matches the Rfam family "Archaeal small subunit ribosomal RNA", at positions 326 to 893 of the family's 1478-position model. The record is from RNAcentral.
CGGGGUGCACCAGGCGCGAAAACUUUACAAUGCUGGCAACAGCGAUAAGGGGACCUCGAGUGCCAGGAUACAAUCUUGGCUGUCGCGAUGCCUAAAAAGCAUUGCAUAGCAAGGGCCGGGCAAGACCGGUGCCAGCCGCCGCGGUAACACCGGCGGCUCGAGUGGUAACCGCUAUUAUUGGGUCUAAAGGGUCUGUAGCCGGCCGGAUAAGUCUCUUGGGAAAUCCAGCUGCUCAACAGUUGGGCUUUCAGGAGAUACUGUUCGGCUCGAGACCGGGAGAGGUGAGAGGUACUUCAGGGGUAGGGGUGAAAUCUUGUAAUCCUUGAAGGACCACCAGUGGCGAAGGCGUCUCACCGGAACGGAUCUGACGGCAAGGGACGAAAGCUAGGGGCACGAACCGGAUUAGAUACCCGGGUAGUCCUAGCCGUAAACGAUACUCGCUAGGUGUCAGCCACGGUGCGACCGUGGUUGGUGCCGUAGGGAAGCCGUGAAGCGAGCCACCUGGGAAGUACGGCCGCAAGGCUGAAACUUAAAGGAAUUGGCGGGGGAGCACAAGGGCGAAUNGCG